AGAGAAGGAGCUUGCUCCUUCGACGUUAGCGGCGGACGGGUGAGUAACACGUGGGCAACCUACCUUAUAGUUUGGGAUAACUCCGGGAAACCGGGGCUAAUACCGAAUAAUCUGUUUCACCUCAUGGUGAAACACUGAAAGACGGUUUCGGCUGUCGCUAUAGGAUGGGCCCGCGGCGCAUUAGCUAGUUGGUGAGGUAACGGCUCACCAAGGCGACGAUGCGUAGCCGACCUGAGAGGGUGAUCGGCCACACUGGGACUGAGACACGGCCCAGACUCCUACGGGAGGCAGCAGUAGGGAAUCUUCCACAAUGGGCGAAAGCCUGAUGGAGCAACGCCGCGUGAGUGAAGAAGGAUUUCGGUUCGUAAAACUCUGUUGUAAGGGAAGAACAAGUACAGUAGUAACUGGCUGUACCUUGACGGUACCUUAUUAGAAAGCCACGGCUAACUACGUGCCAGCAGCCGCGGUAAUACGUAGGUGGCAAGCGUUGUCCGGAAUUAUUGGGCGUAAAGCGCGCGCAGGUGGUUUCUUAAGUCUGAUGUGAAAGCCCACGGCUCAACCGUGGAGGGUCAUUGGAAACUGGGAGACUUGAGUGCAGAAGAGGAUAGUGGAAUUCCAAGUGUAGCGGUGAAAUGCGUAGAGAUUUGGAGGAACACCAGUGGCGAAGGCGACUAUCUGGUCUGUAACUGACACUGAG
RNAcentral lists this ribosomal RNA (697 nucleotides) under Bacillus sp. FJAT-4639. RNAcentral describes it as "bacterial SSU rRNA". It matches the Rfam family "Bacterial small subunit ribosomal RNA", at positions 69 to 750 of the family's 1533-position model. The record is from RNAcentral. Lineage: Bacteria; Bacillati; Bacillota; Bacilli; Caryophanales; Bacillaceae.